Molecule: unclassified non-coding RNA, 414 nt
Filed under: Hevea brasiliensis (rubber tree)
Lineage: Eukaryota; Viridiplantae; Streptophyta; Magnoliopsida; Malpighiales; Euphorbiaceae
Source: RNAcentral
GAAAAUGGUACAUUUCUAAAAGAGGUUCUUUGUUUCACUUUUGAAAUAGGUAGAAAUGCCAUAGCCAAACAAUUAGCCACUGCCUGUGGUUGAUAUGGGACCUGGCCCCAAUUUUCAACAUGCUCCCAUUGAUGUUGCCUUCAAAUUGCACCCUAUAAGAUUCCAAGUUUGAAUCUAGCCUGAGCCAAUAAGAAAGCGCGUGGGUCCAUGAAACCCCAACUGAACACAAAUGCCCUUCAAAAAAAAAAAAAAGAACAUCCACAAAAAAAAGACAUCUCAAAGGAGUGGCGUAGGCUGUUCAGUCUUAAAAUCAAAGCUCCCCGCAGAAACAAACGCACACAAGCAGACCAAAUGGCAUGGGCUCUGCUCUCUCCUCUUCCUCCUCCUCUAGCAACCUGUGCCGCCAAAAUAAGC